GAUCAUGGCUCAGGACGAACGCUGGCGGCGCGCCUAACACAUGCAAGUCGAACGGAGUGUAUCUUUGGAAGUUUUCGGAUGGAAGAGGAUAUACUGAGUGGCGGACGGGUGAGUAACACGUGAGCAACCUGCCUUUCAGAGGGGGAUAACGAUUGGAAACGAUCGCUAAUACCGCAUGAUAUUACUAAGUCACAUGACAUGGUAAUCAAAGGAGCAAUCCGCUGAAAGAUGGG
This 233-nucleotide ribosomal RNA is filed under the name uncultured bacterium. RNAcentral's name for it is "partial 16S ribosomal RNA". It matches the Rfam family "Bacterial small subunit ribosomal RNA", at positions 15 to 229 of the family's 1533-position model. The record is from RNAcentral.